CUUUUCCCCCUCUCUCUGGUCUUCUCCACGCCCUAGAACCAAGAAACCUAGGGUUUGUUGGCCGCCAACCCAAAAAGGAAAGAAAGGAACUAGCGCUAUCUCUUUUGUACGCCCCUGUUUUGAGUGCCCCCUCUUGGUCACCCAAGAGGAGUUUCAGGUCCUAAUUUUUUUGAUUUUAGAGGCUUCAUCAAGUGUGCUUCCAGGUUCCAAAAGGUGGAUUUCAGAUCUAAUGGAGAAG
Molecule: long non-coding RNA, 238 nt
Filed under: Elaeis guineensis (African oil palm)
Lineage: Eukaryota; Viridiplantae; Streptophyta; Magnoliopsida; Arecales; Arecaceae
Description: long non-coding RNA (EGUI_LNC041949)
Source: RNAcentral